UACGUAGGGUGCAAGCGUUAAUCGGAAUUACUGGGCGUAAAGCGUGCGCAGGCGGUUUCGUAAGUCUGUCGUGAAAUCCCCGGGCUUAACCUGGGAAUGGCGAUGGAGACUGCGAGGCUAGAGUUUGGCAGAGGGGGGUAGAAUUCCACGUGUAGCAGUGAAAUGCGUAGAGAUGUGGAGGAAUACCGAUGGCGAAGGCAGCCCCCUGGGAUAACACUGACGCUCAUGCACGAAAGCGUGGGGAGCAAACAGG
Molecule: ribosomal RNA, 253 nt
Filed under: uncultured bacterium
Lineage: Bacteria
Description: partial 16S ribosomal RNA
Rfam family: Bacterial small subunit ribosomal RNA
Source: RNAcentral